Molecule: long non-coding RNA, 202 nt
Filed under: Elaeis guineensis (African oil palm)
Lineage: Eukaryota; Viridiplantae; Streptophyta; Magnoliopsida; Arecales; Arecaceae
Description: long non-coding RNA (EGUI_LNC073964)
Source: RNAcentral
CUCAAUCUAAUGGAGAUUCUUCCUUGAUACAUGCCUCCCCUCGACCCUCAAAGUGACACUCAUCUGAAAGAAAUAACUUUAGGAAGAAGUUUUCGAAGAUAUAGCAAUAGAUCGAGGCCUUGAAGGGACACACUCAAGCCGACGAAUCUGAGUUUAACAUGGAUCUACCAUUCAACCAAAAGAUAAUGGAUAAGCUACUUCC